GGAGUUAGCCGGUGCUUCUUCUGCGAGUAACGUCACAGAUGUAAGGUAUUAACUUACACCCUUUCCUCCUCGCUGAAGUGCUUUACAACCCGAAGGCCUUCUUCACACACGCGGCAUGGCUGCAUCACGGGUUUCCCCCAUUGUGCAAUAUUCCCCACUGCUGCCUCCCGUAGGAGUCUGGGCCGUGUCUCAGUCCCAGUGUGGCUGAUCAUCCUCUCAGACCAGCUAGGGAUCGUCGCCUAGGUGAGCCUUUACCUCACCUACUAGCUAAUCCCACCUGGGCUUAUCCAUCAGCGCAAGGCCCGAAGGUCCCCUGCUUUCCCCCGUAGGGCGUAUGCGGUAUUAGCAGUCGUUUCCAACUGUUAUCCCCCACAAAUGGGCAAAUUCCCAGGCAUUACUCACCCGUCCGCCGCUCGUCAUCUUCAAAGCAAGCUUUUAGAAAUGUUACCGCUCGACUUGCAUGUGUUAGGCCUGCCGCCAGCGUUCAAUCUGAGCCAGAAUCAAACUCUGA
Molecule: ribosomal RNA, 511 nt
Filed under: uncultured bacterium
Lineage: Bacteria
Description: partial 16S ribosomal RNA
Source: RNAcentral